Molecule: ribosomal RNA, 460 nt
Filed under: uncultured bacterium
Lineage: Bacteria
Description: partial 16S ribosomal RNA
Rfam family: Bacterial small subunit ribosomal RNA
Source: RNAcentral
CCUACGGGAGGCAGCAGUGAGGAAUAUUGGUCAAUGGACGAGAGUCUGAACCAGCCAAGUAGCGUGAAGGAUGACUGCCCUAUGGGUUGUAAACUUCUUUUAUAAAGGAAUAAAACGAGGCACGUGUGCCUUUUUGCAUGUACUUUAUGAAUAAGGAUCGGCUAACUCCGUGCCAGCAGCCGCGGUAAUACGGAGGAUCCGAGCGUUAUCCGGAUUUAUUGGGUUUAAAGGGAGCGUAGAUGGGUUGUUAAGUCAGUUGUGAAAGUUUGCGGCUCAACCGUAAAAUUGCAAUUGAUACUGGCAGUCUUGAGUACAGUUGAGGUAGGCGGAAUUCGUGGUGUAGCCGUGAAAUGCUUAGAUAUCACGAAGAACCCCGAUUGCGAAGGCAGCUUACUAAACUGUGACUGACAUUGAUGCUCGAAAGUGUGGGUAUCAAACAGGAUUAGAUACCCUAGUAGUC